UACGUAGGGUGCGAGCGUUGCCCGGAUUUAUUGGGCGUAAAGGGCGCGUAGGCGGCCACGCACGUCCGUUGUGAAAUCGCCCGGCUCAACUGGGCGGGGGCGGCGGAUACGGCGUGGCUGGAGCAAGCUAGGGGGCAAUGGAAUUCCCGGUGUAGUGGUGGAAUGCGUAGAUAUCGGGAGGAACACCAGUGGCGAAGGCGGUUGCCUGGAGCUUUGCUGACGCUGAGGCGCGAAAGCGUGGGGAGCGAGCCGG
This 253-nucleotide ribosomal RNA is filed under the name uncultured bacterium. RNAcentral's name for it is "partial 16S ribosomal RNA". It matches the Rfam family "Bacterial small subunit ribosomal RNA", at positions 524 to 776 of the family's 1533-position model. The record is from RNAcentral.